RNAcentral lists this ribosomal RNA (497 nucleotides) under uncultured bacterium. RNAcentral's name for it is "partial 16S ribosomal RNA". It matches the Rfam family "Bacterial small subunit ribosomal RNA", at positions 28 to 507 of the family's 1533-position model. The record is from RNAcentral.
GAUGAACGCUGGCGGCGUGCCUAAUACAUGCCAGUCGAGCGAACAGACGAGGAGCUUGCUCCUCUGACGUUAGCGGCGGACGGGUGAGUAACACGUGGAUAACCUACCUAUAAGACUGGGAUAACUUCGGGAAACCGGAGCUAAUACCGGAUAAUAUAUUGAACCGCAUGGUUCAAUAGUGAAAGACGGUUUUGCUGUCACUUAUAGAUGGAUCCGCGCCGCAUUAGCUAGUUGGUAAGGUAACGGCUUACCAAGGCGACGAUGCGUAGCCGACCUGAGAGGGUGAUCGGCCACACUGGAACUGAGACACGGUCCAGACUCCUACGGGAGGCAGCAGUAGGGAAUCUUCCGCAAUGGGCGAAAGCCUGACAGAGCAACGCCGCGUGAGUGAUGAAGGUCUUCGGAUCGUAAAACUCUGUUAUUAGGGAAGAACAAAUGUGUAAGUAACUAUGCACGUCUUGACGGUACCUAAUCAGAAAGCCACGGCUAACUACGUG